Long non-coding RNA from Papaver somniferum (opium poppy), 2797 nucleotides. RefSeq lists it as uncharacterized. The transcript has 3 exons. NCBI's taxonomy places the organism in Eukaryota, Viridiplantae, Streptophyta, Magnoliopsida, Ranunculales, Papaveraceae. The record is from RefSeq and is a predicted model, not a curated record.
CCUAAAUCCAUCUCCGCCUCUCCAUCACCGCCUCUUCUUCCCCUUUCACUGAAAUCCUAACACAGUAGAGUUGUUUCUCUCGAUUUACUUUUCUUCAAAUCUCUUUUUGUAAUUGUAUGAAAUUGUUGUUGUUUUCUCAAAUUCAACAAAACCUCGAAGAACCCUAGAAUACAAAUAUCCAGUUUUUUUCUCAAUAAUUAAGUUCAAAAUCAAAGUUAAGAAAUCGAAGACAAAUAUCUAUUCUAGAAGUUCACUGUCACAAAUCAUAGCUUCAUUAAAACCCUAUCUCAAAAUCAAGACGCAUGUAUCAACAGAAAUCAAACGUUGUAACCCGAUCUGGUUUUUCUGCUUUUGAAAUCAUUAGGGUAAAUCAAUCGUGUUCUUGGUUGAUAUUUUUGAUAAAUUUUUUGUGUUACUAAACGAUUUAAUUUCACUUUAUUUUCUCUCGUUUUUAUUGUUGAUGUAAGGUGUUUCCUUUUCUUUUUUACCUACAAAGAACUCCUCGAGUAGUCAAGUGGGUUGAAGAUCUCUUCUCCUACUGUAAGAAAUAAAACCCCUUAAUAUAUUAUUGAAUAUUAUUUUACUGCUGGUAAUAUUAAUCUCGAAAACCCUUUACUCUAUUUGAUUGUUUGAUUUUGUUUUUAGUAUUUGAAAACCUUGAUCUAGUUUUGUUUUACUGAAGCUUUGAGUGCCGAAGAUCGAGCAAAUCUUGUUGGUGAUCUUGUUUUGUAGAUUUGUGUUUCUUGGGUUUUUUUAUUCUGUUUUUGAAUGAAGGGUUCUGAUUUAAUUUUGGGUUUUUGUUGUUGUUGUUGUUGCUUCAGGAUAAGCUAAUGUCAUCACUUCAUGACCAAGUGCUUCACAACGUCAAAAGAGACCAAUGUUUUUUUUUGUUGCUUAUUGUGCAACUACAGUAGGUUCUGUAUUGGCUUGUGAUUCAAUUGUAAUGGUUUAAUGUUUGCUCUUAAAUUAUUACCUAGACUGUAUAUGAUUUUCGAACUCUUUGAGACAUCUUACUAGAAGAAUAGGUGAUUCUAUGCAUGCAGUUUUGCUUACAUAUGGAUGUACAAAAAUGGAAAUGAAGUGGAUAGGUUGGAUAGAGUCUCUUCCAGGGAUGUCGAAGCUAAGUGUGACUAUUUACAGCACCGCGGUAGUUAUAACUGGCUUUACUUGUCUCAACUUCUAGACACAAGGAGUUUCAAUUUUCUUCUUAUUCUUCCAUGGAUUCAAAACCAAGCACAAAGUUUCGAGUGUUAUUCAGUUUCAGGUAACCUAAAAUUAUCAUGUGAUUAACUGGGUCUGGGUAAUUUAUCGAAACCCCAGUCUUCGAAAUCUUAUCAAGUUUCAUGAUUUCGUUAUGAUUUUGAGCAAAAUCCAGAAUUCAAUGUCUACAAAUUAACUGAAAAAACAUCAUAGUGCCUGAGGUAUAUCAUAUGUAUGACUAGAUGGUAUAUCAUAAGAUGAUUCUUUUGUAGUGUAUGUAUAAGUCAUAUAAUGUCGUAUGCUUCUCACUUGCUGGAUCAGGCAGAUGUAUGUGAGGAUCCUUAUUUGCGGAUUGUAUAUAUAAGCUGCCUUGUAAGUGCUUCUUGAAUCUUUAUUAAUGGAUUUAUUCCAUCUAUUUGGCAUAAAUUUUAAGUAACUUGUAGUUGUGGAUUGCAGUAAUACUGUUUACUUGUAUUAAACUAGCCAAUUAAGCCUUUCAAUCACGUAGUUGGCAAAGCUUUUGAAUGGUCAAUCACGAUGAAUUGCAUACAUUUUUGAACAGGUGAAUUAUCAUGAAUGCUUACUUCUCAGUUUGUUUUUCGUUUUAUUUCUUUAAUUUGGUGAUCAAAUGAGUUGAUAUGUAUAUUAAUGAGCCAUUGCUUGCUUAUUUAGGGCUUGAAGAAGAAUGGUUUUCCUAUGCCAAAUGUUGUGGUUUUAAUAAGUAUACGUGAUUAUGGGACUUGUCUAAGGUUAUUCACGGUAAGAAUAGGUAUAUUAGAUGUGGCCUAUAUAACCAACCUUACUACAUCUUGAUCUGUAGCUUGGCUGGCUAAUGCAUCCAGUAGUCUGGUAGACGGUUAUUUUCAGCAACCACUUGAAGAAUUAUAAUGCAAAGCAUGCUAUGUAGAAUGAACCAGAAAGGGGUAAGAGGAGUUGUAGCAACUGUUGAACCAUAACCACAGUUACGACAGUCAAAGCUUGCUGCAAGACAAUCUAGUCAUGGUGGUUAGCUUCAAAUGGGAGCUUUCAAUUAUCCAAUUUCACAUUUCUAUUGGGUACCUUUCUGCAGUUUUAUUUCUCUCAUGUUGAUUAGUAUAGAUGGCACAGUCUUGAGGGUUAAACAUGAAUCUGCAGUUAACCAUCAUUUUUGCUUCUGAUCUGUAGUUCUCUUUUACUGAAGUAAUAUUCCAUUCUGCAUCCUUUAUUUUUUGAGGAAUCUUACAGGCACCUUCAAAUAUGCCAUUUUGACCAAGAUGGAUGUGUUGAUCUUGAGUAAGCUGUAUAGGAGGCCCUAGUUACCUGGAUCCUCCUGUUGAGAAGGAAGUAUUGGAUAUUCUUAUUUGUAUGAAACUCUUUGAAGGAAGGAAUCAUAACAAUUUAUUCUAUGGGUUACUCACUUUGAUUCAUUUGUAUAUUUUUAUUCUCUUGGAACUUCUUAUCUCAUUGUGUAUUAAUUAAGUUAAGCUUGUUUUUACUUGGUUGCAGCUCACAAAGUGUUGGCUCUGAAAAUUGUGCUUGGUUAAAUUUCGUAAUGAAUAAAACAAUUUUUUGGUUGCAAGUAUCGUAAUGAAUAGACCUUUGUGCUUGUUUCCGCAAA